This is a long non-coding RNA of Beta vulgaris subsp. vulgaris (sugar beet), 1183 nucleotides long. RefSeq lists it as uncharacterized. The transcript has 4 exons. The record is from RefSeq and is a predicted model, not a curated record. NCBI's taxonomy places the organism in Eukaryota, Viridiplantae, Streptophyta, Magnoliopsida, Caryophyllales, Amaranthaceae.
UCUCUCCUCUUUUGGCGUGUUUCUCUCUUUCUCUCCAAUCUCCUCCAUUCAUCCUCCAAAAAGACCAGAAAAUAACGAUUCAUCCCUUGAAGGUCGUCGGAGAAUCCAUUGUCGGCGUCAAAAAGACGAGAAAUCAUUUAAUUUUGGAUUUUUUCUCUCCUUCGUUGAUUACCCCGUCCGCCAUGGAUCUCGACGAGCGAAGAUCAGGUGGUACGCUCGAAGAAGCUUGAAGCACAAGCUAGAAGAAGAUUGUUAACAAAUUAAAUGAAGUAUUUCAUUUGUUGAGAGUGAAAGAAAAUAUCACAGAAGUGGUAGAUGUGCACUCGUGUGGCUAGGAUAUCAGCUGCGGGAGUUAAUCCAAGGAUUUUUUUUAUCUCUGACAUCUUUCAGGAAAUUCCGUCUGAUCUGAAUUUCUAGACAAUCAUACACAGUUACACUUGCAAGCUCUGCUGCAGAACAAUGGUCAAGACUCUGUUUUCUGCUUAAUCAUGAGAGUAGAUUUUCCUUACCGAGCAAUCAUGUAGUGAUGGGCAUCAUUCAGGAACAAGUGACGGUCUUUUUAUCGAUCAUUUUCAGAAAAUUCCAUUGGGAAAACAAGUGCACACUCGGAGUACAAUGCCGAAGAUAGAUAGAAGGUAGAGAGAGAAGUUCAGGAACAGUAUUCUGCAUUGAUUUAUAACUACUAAUAUAAAUCAGCCCACUGAACCAAGGGAAUGGUGAGACCACCCAUGGGAUGAUUAAAGCCAAACUCUUCUUCAGCUCGAUUUAGAAGAUUCCGAAAUGCUGGCUGGCUUAAGCAAGACAGGGGCACCACAUAUCGCUUUUUUUCUUCAUUACGAUCUCCUACAUAAACUGCGACAUGGCCCUUUGGGACUCCUUUUUGGUUUUUGCUAUGCAAUUUCAGAAACUGUUUGGAGGAAGAAGACGAUAUCAUAGACGGCAAUCGGAAAACCAUGGUCUUAUGUUUUAAAGGACUUGUUUCUUGAGUAAGAAGAGACCUUUGGGCUGUGGAGAGGAUUUUAGGAUUAUAUGAAAGAGGACUUGAUUUGUUUUGGAAGGUUCAGUUGGUGAGAAAUGGUUUUUAUAGUAACAUACCUUGGAAAUCUAGAGAUAUUUAACAACUUUGGUAUAUUAAGAAUUUAGGUGUUAUGUAUAUUAUUAUGACCCACAUUAUUAGCUUUCA